CCCCCCUCAGGCCAAAUCAAUGGUCGACACCACAGUAUCAGCGCUAGUCAAGCCCCCCCCCCUCAGGCCAAAUCAGUGGCCGACAUCACACUGCCACCACUCUAAUUACAAAGUUGUCAUGUUUUUCAAGGUAGAUCUUGUUGGAUAAGAGUUGGGAGUUGUUUGAAGCACAGAGAGAGAGAAAGCAUACUGUACUGUACAUGUGACACACUGAGAGAGAGAAAGCAUACUGUACUGUACAUGUGACACACUGAGAGAGAGAAAGCAUACUGUACUGUACAUGUGACACACUGAGAGAGAGAAAGCAUACUGUACUGUACAUGUUGACACACUGAGAUAGAGAGACCAUACUGUACUGUACAUGUGACACACUGAGAGAGAGCAUACUGUACUGUACAUGUGACACACUGAGAGAGAGAAAGCAUACUGUACUGUACAUGUUGACACACUGAGAGAGAGAAAGCAUACUGUACUGUACAUGUGACACACUGAGAGAGAGCAUACUGUACUGUACAUGUGACACACUGAGAGAGAGAGAGAGAGAGAGAGAGAGAGAGAGAGAGAGAGAGAGAGAGAGAGAGAGAGAGAGAGAAAGCAUACUGUACUGUACAUGUUGACACACUGAGAGAGAGAGAGAGAGAGAGAGAGAGAGAGAGAGAGAGAGAGAGAGAGCAUACUGUACUGUACAUGUGACACACUGAGAGAGAGAAAGCAUACUAGCAUACUGUACUGUACAUGUUGACACACUGAGAGAGAGAGAGAGAGAGAGAGAGAGAGACACUGAGAGAGAGAGAGAGAGAGAGAGAGAGAGAGAGAGAGAGAGAGAGAGAGAGCAUACUGUACUGUACAUGUUGACACACUGAGAUAGAGAGACCAUACUGUACUGUACAUGUUGACACACUGAGAUAGAGAGAGCAUACUGUACUGUACAUGUUGACACACUGAGAUAGAGAGACCAUACUGUACUGUACAUGUUGACACACUGAGAUAGAGAGACCAUACUGUACUGUACAUGUUGACACAUGACAUCUGCUGGUGGAAUUGCAUAGACUCAGGUUCCCCUAACAUCACACAGAAACAACUACACAGGUGUGUGUGUGUGUGUGUGUGUGUGUGUG
Oncorhynchus tshawytscha (Chinook salmon) is the source of this 1118-nucleotide long non-coding RNA. Lineage: Eukaryota; Metazoa; Chordata; Actinopteri; Salmoniformes; Salmonidae. The record is from Ensembl.